RNAcentral lists this ribosomal RNA (501 nucleotides) under uncultured bacterium. Its description in RNAcentral is "partial 16S ribosomal RNA". It matches the Rfam family "Bacterial small subunit ribosomal RNA", at positions 29 to 507 of the family's 1533-position model. The record is from RNAcentral.
GCGCACGCUGGCGGCGUGCCUAACACAUGCAAGUCGCACGUGAAAGGGAGCAAUCCCAAGUAAAGUGGCGUACGGGUGAGUAACACGUAGGUAAUCUACCCCAGAAUCUGGAAUAACCGGCCGAAAGGCUGGCUAAUACUGGAUAGAGCGACGGAAUCCGUAAUUGGGUUUUUCGGGAAAGGGAGCCUGUAAAAAGGCCUUCGUUCUGGGAUGAGCCUGCGUCCCAUCAGCUAGUUGGUGAGGUAAAAGCUUACCAAGGCAAUGACGGGUAGCUGGUCUGAGAGGACGAUCAGCCACACUGGAACUGAAACACGGUCCAGACUCCUACGGGAGGCAGCAGUGGGGAAUCUUGCGCAAUGGACGAAAGUCUGACGCAGCAACGCCGCGUGAGUGAAGAAGGCCUUCGGGUUGUAAAGCUCUGUCGAGUGGGACGAAAAUGCUUGGAGUUCACAGCUCCAGGAACUGACGGUACCACUAAAGGAAGCACCGGCUAACUCCGUG